RNAcentral lists this ribosomal RNA (468 nucleotides) under uncultured bacterium. RNAcentral's name for it is "partial 16S ribosomal RNA". It matches the Rfam family "Bacterial small subunit ribosomal RNA", at positions 28 to 507 of the family's 1533-position model. The record is from RNAcentral.
GACGAACGCUGGCGGCGUGCUUAACACAUGCAAGUCGAACGGAAAGGCCCUGCUUUUGUGGGGUGCUCGAGUGGCGAACGGGUGAGUAACACGUGAGUAACCUGCCCUUGACUUUGGGAUAACUUCAGGAAACUGGGGCUAAUACCGGAUAGGAGCUCCUGCUGCAUGGUGGGGGUUGGAAAGUUUCGGCGGUUGGGGAUGGACUCGCGGCUUAUCAGCUUGUUGGUGGGGUAGUGGCUUACCAAGGCUUUGACGGGUACCCGGCCUGAGAGGGGGACCGGCGUCCAGAGGACUGAGGGAGGCACCAGACGGGUACGGGAGGCAGCAGUGGGAAAUAUUGCACAAUGGGCCGAAGCCUGAGACGAAGACGCCGCGUGCGGAAUGCCGGCCUUCGGGUUAAGAACCGCUUUCGCCUGUGACGAAGCGUUAGUGACGGUAAUGGGUAAAGAAGCACCGGCUAACUACGUG